RNAcentral lists this ribosomal RNA (253 nucleotides) under uncultured bacterium. Its description in RNAcentral is "partial 16S ribosomal RNA". It matches the Rfam family "Bacterial small subunit ribosomal RNA", at positions 524 to 775 of the family's 1533-position model. The record is from RNAcentral.
UACGGAGGGUGCGAGCGUUGUCCGGAAUCACUGGGCGUAAAGCGCGCGUAGGCGGACCUGCAAGUCGGGGGUGAAAGCCCGAGGCUCAACCUCGGAACUGCCUUCGAUACUGCGGGUCUCGAGUCCGGGAGAGGUGAGUGGAAUUCCUAGUGUAGAGGUGAAAUUCGUAGAUAUUAGGAAGAACACCAGUGGCGAAGGCGGCUCCACUGGCCCGGUACUGACGCUGAGGCGCGAAAGCGUGGGGAGCAACAGG